GAUAAACGUUGGCGGCGUGCCUAAUGCAUGCAAGUCGCACAAGGGCUUCGGCCCUAGUGGCGGACGGGUGAGUAACACGUACGAAUCUGCCCGGAGGUGGGGGACAACUUCCCGAAAGGGAAGCUAAUACCGCAUACGGUCUACGGACCAAAGCCGAAAGGCGCCACCGGAGGAGCGUGCGGCGGAUUAGCUAGUUGGUGGGGUAACGGCCUACCAAGGCGACGAUCCGUAGCUGGUCUGAGAGGAUGGUCAGCCACACUGGGACUGAGAUACGGCCCAGACUCCUACGGGAGGCAGCAGCAAGGAAUUUUGCACAAUCGACGCAAGUCGGAUGCAGCAACGCCGCGUGGGGGAUGAAGGCUCUCGGGUUGUAAACCCCUUUUGCGAGGGAAGAAGAUCUGACGGUACCUCGCGAAUAAGUCACGGCUAACUACGUGCCAGCCGCCGCGGUAA
This 453-nucleotide ribosomal RNA is filed under the name uncultured bacterium. RNAcentral's name for it is "partial 16S ribosomal RNA". It matches the Rfam family "Bacterial small subunit ribosomal RNA", at positions 28 to 523 of the family's 1533-position model. The record is from RNAcentral.